CUUCUCAGUUAUUGCUGUCAAAUUGUUCAAGUUAUUCAACUUUUUCUUUUUUUGUACACCUCAGUACUCCGGCGAAAUGGAGCUGUUGACAAAAAAGAUUAUGAUCUGCACUAUUUGCUAGGGAUGAAAUUCUUUGUGUUGUGUCCGUGUAUAGUGAUAUGCGAUCAGGCUGACAGGGCCCUUUAAGUUGGAUUUACUGUUUUGUAGAAUACAUGUAUGUAUGAUGAGAGCGGUUUACUCCUGCAGCUUAUAGCAUCUAUUUGCAAAAAUAAAUAAAUAGAUCCUUACCAUUUUCAUGAAUCUGUUCUGAGUAAUCAUGGUGUGCUUACACAUACGCAUAGCUAUUGCUGAUACGUAAAUGAUGCUGCAUAAGGAAGAUUAAGGAAGUAGGAAAAUUAGCCUACGAGAAAAUAGUUGUUCGUUAGCUGGUUAGUUUGGUCAGCUUGGGUGCAGGAAGGCUAUGUUUUCAUCCCCAUCCUUCCCCUUUUCAUUUAAUGUUCAUCAGUUUAUUUAUUCUUUCUGAUUCAUCUACUAAUUUGGAUAUAUGUUUAGGUUAGGUUUCACUUUUCAGCAAGUUAAUCUGGAAUUUCAUGUCUGCAUCAUGAAAUUUUUAUUGCCAUUCUUUACUUUCUUUUUAAUUAGCUAUAAUUAGGUAAUAGGCCAUGAAUAUGAGGUGCAGAUUGCGUAUGGAAGAAUUAUAGAGCACAAAAAAACUAAGGACACUAUUAUGUUUUGAGUGGCUUGGGAAGGGGAGUAAGGCCGUGGCUUGCGAGGUAAAAGGGCAGAGAAACGCUGUUGUUGAGGCUGCUCCCAAAGCAGAGAUCUUCAAUGGCGAUGUAGGGGAAUUCCAGUGCCCACACAAGUUCCUCCAUUUGGCGAUAUUUGAUGAUGAUAUCAAUAUUUAUGUUACUGGGAGCGAGUGACCAAUCGGCAGAAUGUUUAGCUCAUGGAGCUAUCAUCCGAUGAUGCAGUUGGCACGCGGAAAACCAUUGUUUCAGAUUAUCCAUUGUUUCAGUAGUCCAUGGUGCUGAAGGAGUACCCUGAUGCACCCACAGUUGCGUAGAAAUGUGGAUUCGUCGAGUGGAUCUCCAUGAAAGCAGGUUUGCAGAUACUCAGAUAGGGAAUUAUGCACACACACGCACACUUGGUAAGUUAAGUCUCAUUACAUAUAUCAUUUCAUAUAUUUACUCUUCCAGCCUUUUUUUAGAUUCAUUUCCACACGCUUCGGGGUGUUGCAAUAUUGGGUGAAUGUUACUGGUAGACGCGGACGCGGCCUGUAGCCAUUCCAGUUACUUGCUUUUGU
This is a long non-coding RNA of Lolium rigidum, 1303 nucleotides long. RefSeq lists it as uncharacterized. The record is from RefSeq and is a predicted model, not a curated record. The transcript is spliced from 5 exons. NCBI's taxonomy places the organism in Eukaryota, Viridiplantae, Streptophyta, Magnoliopsida, Poales, Poaceae.